GUCCGUGAAGCCUACCGAGUGUUUGAUAAGGAGAGAACAGGACACAUUGCCGCGUCGGAGUUAAGAAUGAUCUUUGCCGCGCUGCCGGAGCGUUUAUCAGACCACGAGAUAGAAGAAAUGCUCAGAGCAGCAGAUAAAGACGGGAAUGGACGAUUCGAUUACGAUGAAUUUAAAGUGAUGUUAGGUGGCGA
Molecule: long non-coding RNA, 191 nt
Organism: Eurytemora carolleeae
Lineage: Eukaryota; Metazoa; Arthropoda; Copepoda; Calanoida; Temoridae
Exons: 2
Source: RefSeq, a predicted model, not a curated record